Molecule: ribosomal RNA, 270 nt
Filed under: uncultured bacterium
Lineage: Bacteria
Description: partial 16S ribosomal RNA
Rfam family: Bacterial small subunit ribosomal RNA
Source: RNAcentral
CGCCGGCGACCGGCGCACGGGUGAGUAACACGUAUGCAACCUGCCCUCUUCAGGGGGACAACCUUCCGAAAGGGAGGCUAAUCCCGCGUAUAUCGGUUUCGGGCAUCCGAGAUCGAAGGAAAGAUUCAUCGGAAGAGGAUGGGCAUGCGGCGCAUUAGCUAGACGGCGGGGUAACGGCCCACCGUGGCGACGAUGCGGUAGGGGUUCUGAGAGGAACGGUCCCCCACACUGGUACUGAGACACGGACCAGACUCCUACGGAAGGCAGCAG